CAGUCGCCGCGGUAAUACGUAUGUCACGAGCGUUAUCCGGAUUUAUUGGGCGUAAAGCGCGUCUAGGUGGUUAUAUAAGUCUGAUGUGAAAAUGCAGGGCUCAACUCUGUAUUGCGUUGGAAACUGUAUAACUAGAGUACUGGAGAGGUAAGCGGAACUACAAGUGUAGAGGUGAAAUUCGUAGAUAUUUGUAGGAAUGCCGAUGGGGAAGCCAGCUUACUGGACAGAUACUGACGCUGAAGCGCGAAAGCGUGGGUAGCAAACAGGAUUAGAUACCCGCGUAGUCCCUGUCUCUUAUACC
Molecule: ribosomal RNA, 301 nt
Filed under: uncultured bacterium
Lineage: Bacteria
Description: partial 16S ribosomal RNA
Rfam family: Bacterial small subunit ribosomal RNA
Source: RNAcentral